This 468-nucleotide ribosomal RNA is filed under the name uncultured bacterium. RNAcentral's name for it is "partial 16S ribosomal RNA". It matches the Rfam family "Bacterial small subunit ribosomal RNA", at positions 28 to 507 of the family's 1533-position model. The record is from RNAcentral.
GACGAACGCUGGCGGCGUGCUUAACACAUGCAAGUCGAACGGAAAGGCCCUGCUUUUGUGGGGUGCUCGAGUGGCGAACGGGUGAGUAACACGUGAGUAACCUGCCCUUGACUUUGGGACAACUUCAGGAAACUGGGGCUAAUACCGGAUAGGAGCUCCUGCUGCACGGUGGGGGUUGGAAAGUUUCGGCGGUUGGGGAUGGACUCGCGGCUUAUCAGCUUGUUGGUGGGGUAGUGGCUUACCAAGGCUAUGACGGGUAGCCGGCCUGAGAGGGUGACCGGCCACAUUGGGACUGAGAUACGGCGCAGACUCCUACGGGAGGCAGCAGUGGGGAAUAUUGCACAAUGGGCGGAAGCCUGAUGCAGCAACGCCGCGUGCGGGAUGACGGCCUUCGGGUUGUAAACCGCUUUCGCCUGUGACGAAGCGUGAGUGACGGUAAUGGGUAAAGAAGCACCGGCUAACUACGUG